GGGGGGAGCGCGCCGCGCACCCGGAAGCGCCCAGAGCGCCGCGCGCCGCCCGCCCGGAAGCGCUUCCGGGAAUGCUAAUGAAUGAUGGUGGUACGAGCAGUUCAUGAACACAUGGAAGCCGGAGCGAAAAGACUGAAGAAAACUGCAAAGUAGAGGAGAAUCAGGAAUUUAGAUGCUGUGGAUCCUGAACAUGAAGAACCAAAGAAAUAGUGACUCCACAUCCGAGAAGAGUAAAAAUUGAUUUAUGAAGAGGAAGAAUAAUCUUUGUUAUGUUACUUAAAAUCUGGUUACAGUGUUUUUUUACUAAUUGUUAUUUAUCUUCAAUAACAAGUUAUCAUAAUGAAAAUAAAGUUUUUAUGGAGGAUUUAUUAAGAUUGCAUCCUACCUAGGAACUCAUGAGGAUAUCCUUUUUUCUCCCAGUAAUUAUCGAACAAGCUCCCAAGUCAAGAGUUUUAUAUCUUAGACUUUUCAAGGUAGAAUAACAGUCAGUCUUCCAUAUCCAUCCAAAACCUC
Long non-coding RNA from Dromaius novaehollandiae (emu), 513 nucleotides. RefSeq lists it as uncharacterized. The record is from RefSeq and is a predicted model, not a curated record. The transcript is spliced from 3 exons. Lineage: Eukaryota; Metazoa; Chordata; Aves; Casuariiformes; Dromaiidae.